UAAAUAGUCAAUCUCUGCUAAUGAGGCUUUCUGCAUAUUGAAGGUCAGACAUUUUGUUCUGUUUUCUUUCUCUAGCAAACUAAAGGACAAAGCAUAAUUGAGUUCAAAAACAUCCAAGUGCAGGAUGGUGGAGAGUACAUUUGUGAAGCGAGCAACACUGCUGUUGAUAGCCAAGGAAAUACCAUUGUGAAGAAUUUGUCGAUACCCAUUAACAUUGAAUCAAAACCUUUCAUCAUUGGGCUGGCCUCACCCAGAGAAGUGUAUUCUUAUUUGGGCAACAGUGAUCCAACAUGGGUGCGAUGCAAGUUUGGUGGUUAUCCAGAACCAUUUGUUACUAUGCGAUUUAAAAAAAAGCUCAUGUCCAAUGCUUCAAUAGUUGCUGAAAAGAAGCUCUUCACAAAUGCCUUGAAGAACUUUGGUGUGUACAAAUGCCAUGCACAAAAUAAAUUUGGAACCACAAACUAUUCCAUUGAACUCAAGUUAGCAGAAGCACCAAGUAAGAUUGAAAAUCUUAAAGCCACAGCCAGCUGUAAGAGUAUCGAACUCAUAUGGGAGCAGCCAAAACAAGAUGGAGGCAUGCCCAUCAACAAAUAUGUCUUGACUUUUUUCAAGCACUACUCUGAACAUCGAUGGAGAUGAAACAUCGUACAUUAUCACUGAUCUAGAACAUAACACUGAAUACAGCAUCUCACUGAGAGCCACUUCCAAGGCCGAUUGGGCCCCCCCCCCCAGUCCGUGUAAACGUAAAGACUGAAGAAUACUGUGAGUUUUAGAAUAACAGACCAUAAUUAUGCCAUUCACAUUGUGUUCGUUUUAAACUACUGUAGCUGUCAAUGGAAAACAGUAGCCUGAGAAAUCAGGCUUAUCUCUGUAUGUGUUAGUCUGGCCCUGGUUGAGUGGCAUAUGCA
Molecule: long non-coding RNA, 908 nt
Organism: Orbicella faveolata
Lineage: Eukaryota; Metazoa; Cnidaria; Anthozoa; Scleractinia; Merulinidae
Source: RefSeq, a predicted model, not a curated record